This 402-nucleotide ribosomal RNA is filed under the name uncultured Mesorhizobium sp. RNAcentral describes it as "bacterial SSU rRNA". It matches the Rfam family "Bacterial small subunit ribosomal RNA", at positions 353 to 772 of the family's 1533-position model. The record is from RNAcentral. Lineage: Bacteria; Pseudomonadati; Pseudomonadota; Alphaproteobacteria; Hyphomicrobiales; Phyllobacteriaceae.
AGUGGGGAAUAUUGGACAAUGGGCGAAAGCCUGAUCCAGCCAUGCCGCGUGAGUGAUGAAGGCCCUAGGGUUGUAAAGCUCUUUCAACGGUGAAGAUAAUGACGGUAACCGUAGAAGAAGCCCCGGCUAACUUCGUGCCAGCAGCCGCGGUAAUACGAAGGGGGCUAGCGUUGUUCGGAAUUACUGGGCGUAAAGCGCACGUAGGCGGACAUUUAAGUCAGGGGUGAAAUCCCGGGGCUCAACCCCGGAACUGCCUUUGAUACUGGGUGUCUCGAGUCCGAGAGAGGUGAGUGGAAUUCCGAGUGUAGAGGUGAAAUUCGUAGAUAUUCGGAGGAACACCAGUGGCGAAGGCGGCUCACUGGCUCGGUACUGACGCUGAGGUGCGAAAGCGUGGGGAGCAAA